This 674-nucleotide ribosomal RNA is filed under the name Polyporus meridionalis. RNAcentral's name for it is "eukaryotic LSU rRNA". It matches the Rfam family "Eukaryotic large subunit ribosomal RNA", at positions 72 to 731 of the family's 3401-position model. Lineage: Eukaryota; Fungi; Basidiomycota; Agaricomycetes; Polyporales; Polyporaceae. The record is from RNAcentral.
GGAUUCCCCUAGUAACUGCGAGUGAAGCGGGAAAAGCUCAAAUUUAAAAUCUGGCGGUCUUUGGCCGUCCGAGUUGUAGUCUGGAGAAGUGCUUUCCGCGCUGGACCGUGUAUAAGUCUCUUGGAACAGAGCGUCAUAGAGGGUGAGAAUCCCGUCUUUGACACGGACUACCAGUGCUUUGUGAUGCGCUCUCAAAGAGUCGAGUUGUUUGGGAAUGCAGCUCAAAAUGGGUGGUAAAUUCCAUCUAAAGCUAAAUAUUGGCGAGAGACCGAUAGCGAACAAGUACCGUGAGGGAAAGAUGAAAAGCACUUUGGAAAGAGAGUUAAACAGUACGUGAAAUUGCUGAAAGGGAAACGCUUGAAGUCAGUCGCGUCUGCCGGAACUCAGCCUUCCUUUUGGUUGGUGCACUUUCCGGUAGACGGGCCAGCAUCGAUUUCGACCGUCGGAAAAGGGCUGGGGAAAUGUGGCACCUUCGGGUGUGUUAUAGUCCCCAGUCGCAUACGUCGGUUGGGAUCGAGGAUCGCAGCGCGCCGCAAGGCAGGGGUUCCCCCACUUUCGCGCUUAGGAUGCUGGCAUAAUGGCUUUAAACGACCCGUCUUGAAACACGGACCAAGGAGUCUAACAAACCUGCGAGUGUUUGGGUGGAAAACCCGAGCGCGUAAUGAAAGUGAAAG